Molecule: long non-coding RNA, 211 nt
Filed under: Papio anubis (olive baboon)
Lineage: Eukaryota; Metazoa; Chordata; Mammalia; Primates; Cercopithecidae
Description: lncRNA (ENSPANG00000047694.1)
Source: RNAcentral
GCUCCCAGGAUGACUGGAUUUGGGACCCGGAAGUCUUUCUUCACCACUGCACCGUAAGUUUUUCUUGGGUAGGUAUGGCGUCUUAACCGUCCUUAUUUGUCCAGUACUUAGCACAACGUUUGGCAUAUAGUCGGCAGUGAUCAUAUUUUCUUAACUGAACUGAACUUGGUAAAUGCUAAUAUGCCAGAAUGACCUACUACAUAGUUACUUU